This 570-nucleotide ribosomal RNA is filed under the name bacterium RBM-D4. Its description in RNAcentral is "bacterial SSU rRNA". It matches the Rfam family "Bacterial small subunit ribosomal RNA", at positions 90 to 695 of the family's 1533-position model. The record is from RNAcentral.
AUCUAGUGGCGCACGGGUGCGUAACGCGUGGGAAUCUGCCCUUGGGUACGGAAUAACUCAGAGAAAUUUGUGCUAAUACCGUAUAAUGUCUUCGGACCAAAGAUUUAUCGCCCAAGGAUGAGCCCGCGUAGGAUUAGCUAGUUGGUGAGGUAAAAGCUCACCAAGGCGACGAUCCUUAGCUGGUCUGAGAGGAUGAUCAGCCACACUGGGACUGAGACACGGCCCAGACUCCUACGGGAGGCAGCAGUGGGGAAUAUUGGACAAUGGGCGAAAGCCUGAUCCAGCAAUGCCGCGUGAGUGAUGAAGGCCUUAGGGUUGUAAAGCUCUUUUACCCGGGAUGAUAAUGACAGUACCGGGAGAAUAAGCUCCGGCUAACUUCGUGCCAGCAGCCGCGGUAAUACGAGGGGAGCUAGCGUUGUUCGGAAUUACUGGGCGUAAAGCGCGCGUAGGCGGUUUUUUAAGUCAGAGGUGAAAGCCCGGGGCUCAACCCCGGAAUAGCCUUUGAAACUGGAAAACUAGAAUCUUGGAGAGGUCAGUGGAAUUCCGAGUGUAGAGGUGAAAUUCGUAGAU